UCUUAAUUUCACACACUCUCUCACCGGUCAGAUAAACGAGAGAGAGUGUGUGAAAUGAAGAGA
This 63-nucleotide microRNA precursor is filed under the name Pristionchus pacificus. RNAcentral describes it as "mir-8364 microRNA precursor family". It matches the Rfam family "mir-8364 microRNA precursor family". Lineage: Eukaryota; Metazoa; Nematoda; Chromadorea; Rhabditida; Neodiplogasteridae. The record is from Rfam by way of RNAcentral.